ACCCACUGUGGCUGCCGGGGAAAAGAAGGGAUCACUUGAUAGUAGAUGUAGCUCUCUUGGCAGGUCCUUAAUUGAUUCUAGAUGGGGAGAGCAAUGAAGACCUCCAUUGGAGCUUCAAUCCUGCUCUUGGGGCUGCAGCUGGACUGGGUCAGCCUUGGAGAGAAGGUGGAGCAGAGUCCUACCGUGAGUGUCCAGGAGGGAAGCAGCUCUGUUAUUACCUGCUCUUAUACAGACAGUACCUCAGACUACUUCCCUUGGUAUAAGCAAGAACCUGGAAAAGGUCUCCAGUUCCUUACACACAUUCGAGCAAAUGUGGUCAAUAGGGAAGAAGAAAGAUUCACUGUCUCAUUGAAUAAGACAGCCAAGCAUUUCUCCCUGCACAUCGCAGUCAGCCAGCCUGAAGACUCAGCUGUCUACUUCUGUGCAGCAAGUGCACAUUGCUUCUGAGGCACUUGCCCUCUGUACUCAAACCUGUGACUGAGGCAGCUCCCUUCCUUUGGCACAAACCUUUUGUUCUAUUGUUUGUGUGCAAGUAGAAACUAAUGUAUUAGACACAAAAAGCAUAGAAUAAGAGAAUUAGGUUCAUGAAAACCCAGACAGGGUUAGAACAUUUUGUUGGAUGACUGUUGCUUAAUGGAUUCUUGAAGGAGCUUGGUGAGGUUUAAUUUUGAAA
Non-coding RNA from Phacochoerus africanus (Common warthog), 673 nucleotides. Lineage: Eukaryota; Metazoa; Chordata; Mammalia; Artiodactyla; Suidae. The record is from the annotation of a RefSeq genome assembly.